GUCUUGUAAUUGGAAUGAUGGUGACCUAAACCCUCACCAAGAGUAACAAUUGGAGGGCAAGUCUGGUGCCAGCAGCCGCGGUAAUUCCAGCUCCAAUAGCGUAUAUUAAACUUGUUGCAGUUAAAAAGCUCGUAGUUGAAUUUCUGCGUUAUCGAGUUAUUGACUCUUGUCUUUAAUCGAUUUCGCUUUUGGGAUUUAUCCCUUUUUACUUUGAGAAAAUUAGAGUGUUUCAAGCAGACUUUUGUCUUGAAUACUUCAGCAUGGAAUAAUAGAGUAGGACUUUGGUUCUAUUUUGUUGGUUUUUGAACCUUAGUAAUGGUUAAUAGGAACGGUUGGGGGCAUUCGUAUUUAACUGUCAGAGGUGAAAUUCUUAGAUUUGUUAAAGACGAACUACUGCGAAAGCAUUUGCCAAGGACGUUUCCAUUAAUCAAGAACGAAAGUUAGGGGAUCGAAGACGAUCAGAUACCGUCGUAGUCCUAACCAUAAACUA
Molecule: ribosomal RNA, 490 nt
Filed under: Babesia venatorum (nom. ined.)
Lineage: Eukaryota; Apicomplexa; Aconoidasida; Piroplasmida; Babesiidae
Description: SSU rRNA
Rfam family: Eukaryotic small subunit ribosomal RNA
Source: RNAcentral